ACUUAAACGUGGACGUACUUGCU
This 23-nucleotide microRNA is filed under the name Cavia porcellus (domestic guinea pig). RNAcentral's name for it is "cpo-miR-302a-5p". Its record names the gene cpo-miR-302a-5p. The record is from miRBase by way of RNAcentral. Lineage: Eukaryota; Metazoa; Chordata; Mammalia; Rodentia; Caviidae.